CCCAAAUAGCAAAAGCAAAAGGAAGCUUCAGACGUCAUUGUAAGCUUCCUAAUAGUCUUCCAAAACAAUUUCCUAAUCAUCUCCUCAAAUCCCGUGACUAUUCCUUUCCUUCAACAUCUCUCCUUUUUCACCUUCCUGUGUAUAUAAUCUCUAAUGACCAAUUGGGCACUACGCCGUGGGGAGGAGCAGUGGAGCACAUCAUGCAUGGAUGCCCAUGCUGCUCACCAACCGCCGUGGUCGCCGCUGCACGGAAUACCACCAUGAGCACGGCCUCCUCAGCUGCUCCGACUCUCCGUAGUACUGCUCCUCCAGCUACCGGCCCUUCCCCUUCUAUUUUGAAUUUUCUAGAACAAUGGGUAAGCAGCUACCAACUAUGAAUGGAAUAAGUCUAAAAAGAAGCUUGGGUAUGCUGAUAUGUGCCUUCAGGUUAUAAGAUAAGGGAGCAAGUGAAACAACCCAGAAGCUUAUGAUAUUGUUACUGUGGAGAUACCCGGAAGCUUGCAUAUCCAGAAUCGAUCUUCACUUCAGCUACAAGUGAGGUAUAUUGAGCCUAUUGAUGCAUAGUUACAUAAAGAUAGAAGAAUUGGUUGCACUUUGUCAUUAUUACUUGUUUCUACAAGUAGCUCUCUACAUCUGGUUCCUGUAACGAGUAGUCUAUCUAUGGUUUGUUGGACAUGAUUAUUUACUUUGUUUACUUUUGAGAUCUACAUCUUAAAGAAAAAUCUCUGAAAUAUUCAUUAUACAAGGAGUUACAAACUUACAAUACUAUCAUGUUGUACUAAUACACAAGUAUUUUCUCAUGUUAACGGGAUUUCCCAGUAUAUGAUCCUUCCACAAAAAAAAUUGAUGCUUCUGCUUCUUUUCUUUCUGUACCACCGUCGAGAUUGCUGAUAUACAGAGGUAUUGCUGCCGAGCGUGACACCGCGCCGAUCUAUUUGAGCCCAACUGCAUCAAUUUUAGACGGAAGAUAAUGAUGCAAGGAGACCACCUGAGCACCUCCACUCCCUCAACACUGUCCCCCUACUGCCUGAGUUUACUGAAUAUUUUUUCUUGCUUCAACUAUAUCAAGGGAGCAAGUGCAACAACCCAGAAGCUUAUGAUAUUGCUACUGUGGAGAUACCCGGAAGCUUGCAUUGAUCCAGAAUCGAUCUUCACUUCAGCUACAAGUGAGGUAUAUUGAGCCUAUUGACGCAUAGUUACAUAAAGAUAGAAGAAUUGGUUGCACUUUGUCAUUAUUACUUGUUUCUACAAGUAGCUCUCUACACCUGGUUCAUGUAAUGAGUAGCCUGUCUAUCGUUUGUUGGACAUGAUUAUUUACUUUGUUUACUUUGAGAUCUACAUCUUACAGAAAUGUAGGGAAAGGCUGCGUACAAUAGACCCAAAGUGGUCGGACCCUUCCCCAGACCCUGCGCAAGCGGGAGCUACAUGCACUGGGGCUGCCCUUUUACUUUGAGAUCUACAUCUUAAAGAAAAAUCUCUGUCCACCAAUAACAUUGAUUUUGCUAAUUUCUUCCAUUUUCAUUGAUUUUGCUAAUUUCUGUAUGCCAUGUUAAUGAAUACAGAAAUCAUGAUCAUCUGAAACUACCUUUAACUAUGGUGAUGAGCAAAUUCAUCCCCUUCAAUGCAAAAUACAAAAUCCAUGUGAGCCAUCAUUGCUACCUGCCUCCUGAACGAUUGGUCAUCUCCUUUGCUUCUCUAUCAGUUGGUUUACGGUGCUGUUGAGGAGCUUUCAUGAUUUUGUGGUAUUCGUCAGAAGUAGAUCAGGUGCAAUACUUCGGUUUCAAAUGACCCUUACAAAUUUACCAUAAGUUAUUCAUUACUUUGGUUCUGUACUGCUGAUCCUUCCUCUGGUCAAUGUUCCUUAAUCUAAAAUUCUGAAUCUACAUACUCUCAUUCUAUUUCUGGGAAAAGAUCGGGGCUUCUGCUCCUUCGUCUAUUUUGUUUAACAUUUCUGCUGCUUCCAGAUGCAUUUCACUACGUGGCUAUGUGCACAUAAAUCAGUCAAGGAGCAGGCUUCAGUGAAGUGUGAUCCAGUACAUUUGUGAACAUUGUGCAGUUCUUGCUGAAUUCUGGACUUGACUGAACGGGUUCCCCCUAUUCCAAAUUUCUUUUUAAGUAUUUGGCAGUUAUCUUCAGCGUCCAAAUGGAAGUACUCCCUCCGUCCCAUAAUAUAAUAUCUUAUUGCACUCAUUUUGCUCAAAAAUUGGAUGUAAUACGAUCUUAUAUUAUGGGACGGAGGGAGUACAAUUGAUUCAUAUUAUGUGUAUCUUUGUACUCACCAUUGCUGGAUGAAAAUUUGGACAUACAUAGAUAGCUCUAGAUGUAGCCUAAAUGCUUUUUUACUCCUCAUAUAAUCACUGUUGUGAAUCCUUGUGCCUUUGCAACACCUCAUGUCCUAUAGGAAUGAUGUUCUAACCUAUCUGUGUAAAUUUAAAUUUUAAAUAUUGCAAAUAAAUUAGAAGAUAGACAUGCUUCCAUCCAUGCAGCAAGGCCAACAACAUGCAAGAGCACUGCCUUUUUAUUUAGCAUGCCAGUAAUAUUAUAGCUCUGGGGAUAAUAUUCUUGCACACUUUAGAUGCCAUUUGAUAGAUUGGGAGGACAGGUAAAUUUACAUAUGACAGCAGAGUUCUCUUCACCAAGUAUAUGUCAAUACAUGUCUCAAUGGCAUGGCUUUGGGAUCGAGAUCUACCUUGCUAACGUUACAGAUCAAUUGUCAAUAGCUUGUUGAAAAUCUCCCCUUGUUUGUAAUGUAAGGAUCUUAUGUAAUCUUAAGGUUUGCAGCUAAUAGAGAAACCCAAUCCAAGUAAAAGUUUUCAACCCAAUCCAAGUAAAAGUUUUCAGUAUUGCUUAAUUGUGUGAGUGAUUAACACUUUUUGGUUGUGCUGAAUUUCACUCCUACAUAGUUUUAUUGACAAUUUUUAUAUUCCUUUCAUUCAAAUGAGGCACAAGAUAGAUCACAUCUAUCGCAACGUAUUGGAGAUCCAUGCCCCUUGGUGUUCAAGAAAACCAUACUCACCAGAUAUUGCCACAAGGUUACUGGCAAAGCAGUACCAAUCUUGAUGAUUUGUGUAGGCAGGCCACCCAUAUGCUUGAGGAGGAAAUAUUAACGGUGUUGUAUCUCAGGUGGCAUGACUUUUUUUGUAAAGGGCAGAGUGGGUUUCUUUUUUCCCCAAUGAGCAUGUUGAUCCUUGUGGACAAC
Molecule: long non-coding RNA, 3199 nt
Organism: Triticum aestivum (bread wheat)
Lineage: Eukaryota; Viridiplantae; Streptophyta; Magnoliopsida; Poales; Poaceae
Exons: 4
Source: RefSeq, a predicted model, not a curated record